AGACCCGAAACCCGGUGAUCUAGCCAUGGGCAGGUUGAAGGUUGGGUAACACUAACUGGAGGACCGAACCGACUAAUGUUGAAAAAUUAGCGGAUGACCUGUGGCUGGGGGUGAAAGGCCAAUCAAACCGGGAGAUAGCUGGUUCUCCCCGAAAGCUAUUUAGGUAGCGCCUCGUGAAUUCAUCUCCGGGGGUAGAGCACUGUUUCGGCUAGGGGGCCAUCCCGGCUUACCAACCCGAUGCAAACUGCGAAUACCGGAGAAUGUUAUCACGGGAGACACACGGCGGGUGCUAACGUCCGUCGUGAAGAGGGAAACAACCCAGACCGCCAGCUAAGGUCCCAAAGUCAUGGUUAAGUGGGAAACGAUGUGGGAAGGCCCAGACAGCCAGGAUGUUGGCUUAGAAGCAGCCAUCAUUUAAAGAAAGCGUAAUAGCUCACUGGUCGAGUCGGCCUGCGCGGAAGAUGUAACGGGGCUAAACCAUGCACCGAAGCUGCGGCAGCGACGCUGAUGCGUUGUUGGGUAGGGGAGCGUUCUGUAAGCCUGUGAAGGUGGCCUGUGAGGGUUGCUGGAGGUAUCAGAAGUGCGAAUGCUGACAUAAGUAACGAUAAAGCGGGUGAAAAGCCCGCUCGCCGGAAGACCAAGGGUUCCUGUCCAACGUUAAUCGGGGCAGGGUGAGUCGACCCCUAAGGCGAGGCCGAAAGGCGUAGUCGAUGGGAAACGGGUUAAUAUUCCCGUACUUGGUGUUACUGCGAAGGGGGGACGGAGAAGGCUAUGUUGGCCGGGCGACGGUUGUCCCGGUUUAAGCGUGUAGGUGUGUGUUCCAGGUAAAUCCGGUUCACUUUAACACUGAGGCGUGAUGACGAGGCACUACGGUGCUGAAGCAACAAAUGCCCUGCUUCCAGGAAAAGCCUCUAAGCAUCAGGUAACAUCAAAUCGUACCCCAAACCGACACAGGUGGUCAGGUAGAGAAUACCAAGGCGCUUGAGAGAACUCGGGUGAAGGAACUAGGCAAAAUGGUGCCGUAACUUCGGGAGAAGGCACGCUGACACGUAGGUGAAGUGAUUUACUCACGGAGCUGAAGUCAGUCGAAGAUACCAGCUGGCUGCAACUGUUUAUUAAAAACACAGCACUGUGCAAACACGAAAGUGGACGUAUACGGUGUGACGCCUGCCCGGUGCCGGAAGGUUAAUUGAUGGGGUCAGCGCAAGCGAAGCUCCUGAUCGAAGCCCCGGUAAACGGCGGCCGUAACUAUAACGGUCCUAAGGUAGCGAAAUUCCUUGUCGGGUAAGUUCCGACCUGCACGAAUGGCGUAAUGAUGGCCAGGCUGUCUCCACCCGAGACUCAGUGAAAUUGAACUCGCUGUGAAGAUGCAGUGUACCCGCGGCAAGACGGAAAGACCCCGUGAACCUUUACUAUAGCUUGACACUGAACAUUGAGCCUUGAUGUGUAGGAUAGGUGGGAGGCUUUGAAGUGUGGACGCCAGUCUGCAUGGAGCCGACCUUGAAAUACCACCCUUUAAUGUUU
RNAcentral lists this ribosomal RNA (1524 nucleotides) under Salmonella enterica. RNAcentral's name for it is "partial 23S ribosomal RNA". It matches the Rfam family "Bacterial large subunit ribosomal RNA", at positions 711 to 2215 of the family's 2925-position model. The record is from RNAcentral. Lineage: Bacteria; Pseudomonadati; Pseudomonadota; Gammaproteobacteria; Enterobacterales; Enterobacteriaceae. RNAcentral also lists the same sequence under 1 other name.